CAAGCCCCGCCCAGCGCAAGCGCUGUUUUUUAAAGGAUUUUCCGGAAGCCUUGGCGGGAACUUCCUGCCAAGCGUGAGAACGCUGCGAACUUCCCGGAGGCCAAAAGUUGAGGGGGCUGAGCGGAGCGUGAUUGGGGAGGGGCGGGCCUGGGAGACCUUGGGCGCCUCCUCUGAAAGCCUCUUCGUAGGUACCCGGUUGAUGGGUGACGUGUUGGGCCGGAAAGGGAGAGCAGCAAAUUGCCCCUCUGUUUUCUGAUAGUGAGGAUUUCUUUCCCAUGCACUGAGUCGGGGCCUCCAGAGCCGCAGUGCAGGGCAGUCGAGGGUCCGCUGCAGGGCGGAGGUCACAGCCGCGCAAGUCGUCAGUCUCCGGUGCAGGGCUGCCGCUGAGUCUUCAAGAGCGAGUUUUAUUAUGGACAGGCGUGUGUUUAUUCCUCCUCCUUUUUUCCUGCUUAUGUUUCUCUUGUCCACGUGGAGAAAUAUAAUAGAUGCUACCUCAGCUAAGUGAUCAAGGUUAACAUCAACAGCUAAGAGUAGCCUAAAGUUUGAGAAACUGUCAC
RNAcentral lists this long non-coding RNA (557 nucleotides) under Pan troglodytes (chimpanzee). Its description in RNAcentral is "long non-coding RNA NONPTRT014871". Lineage: Eukaryota; Metazoa; Chordata; Mammalia; Primates; Hominidae. The record is from RNAcentral.